AUUGAACGCUGGCGGCAGGCCUAACACAUGCAAGUCGAACGGUAACAGGAAGCAGCUUGCUGCUUUGCUGACGAGUGGCGGACGGGUGAGUAAUGUCUGGGAAACUGCCCGAUGGAGGGGGAUAACUACUGGAAACGGUAGCUAAUACCGCAUAACGUCGCAAGACCAAAGAGGGGGACCUUAGGGCCUCUUGCCAUCGGAUGUGCCCAGAUGGGAUUAGCUAGUAGGUGGGGUAACGGCUCACCUAGGCGACGAUCCCUAGCUGGUCUGAGAGGAUGACCAGCCACACUGGAACUGAGACACGGUCCAGACUCCUACGGGAGGCAGCAGUGGGGAAUAUUGCACAAUGGGCGCAAGCCUGAUGCAGCCAUGCCGCGUGUAUGAAGAAGGCCUUCGGGUUGUAAAGUACUUUCAGCGGGGAGGAAGGGAGUAAAGUUAAUACCUUUGCUCAUUGACGUUACCCGCAGAAGAAGCACCGGCCAACUCCGUG
This 490-nucleotide ribosomal RNA is filed under the name uncultured bacterium. RNAcentral's name for it is "partial 16S ribosomal RNA". It matches the Rfam family "Bacterial small subunit ribosomal RNA", at positions 30 to 507 of the family's 1533-position model. The record is from RNAcentral.